UACGUAGGGGGCAAGCGUUGUCCGGAAUUAUUGGGCGUAAAGAGCGCGUAGGCGGUCCGAUAAGUCGGCUGUGAAAGUCAAGGGCUCAACCCUUGGAAGCCGGCCGAUACUGUCGGACUAGAGUCCGGAAGAGGCGAGUGGAAUUCCCGGUGUAGUGGUGAAAUGCGCAGAUAUCGGGAGGAACACCAAUUGCGAAGGCAGCUCGCUGGGACGGUACUGACGCUGAGGCGCGAAAGCGUGGGGAGCAAACAGG
RNAcentral lists this ribosomal RNA (253 nucleotides) under uncultured bacterium. RNAcentral's name for it is "partial 16S ribosomal RNA". It matches the Rfam family "Bacterial small subunit ribosomal RNA", at positions 524 to 776 of the family's 1533-position model. The record is from RNAcentral.